AGUGAACGCUGGCGGUAGGCCUAACACAUGCAAGUCGAACGGCAGCACAGGAGAGCUUGCUCUCUGGGUGGCGAGUGGCGGACGGGUGAGGAAUACAUCGGAAUCUACUUUUUCGUGGGGGAUAACGUAGGGAAACUUACGCUAAUACCGCAUACGACCUACGGGUGAAAGCAGGGGAUCUUCGGACCUUGCGCGAUUGAAUGAGCCGAUUUCGGAUUAGCUAGUUGGCGGGGGAAAGGCCCACCAAGGCGACGAUCCGUAACUGGUCUGCUAGGAUGAUCAGCCACACUGGAACUGAGACACGGUCCAGACUCCUACGGGAGGCAGCAGUGGACAAUAUUGGACAAUGGGCGCAAGCCUGAUCCAGCCAUACCGCGUGGGUGAAGAAGGCCUUCGGGUUGUAAAGCCCUUUUGUUGGGAAAGAAAUCCAGCUGGUUAAUCCCCGGUUGGGAUGACGGUACCCAAAGAAUAAGCACCGGCUAACUUCGUGCCAGCCGCCGCAGUAA
RNAcentral lists this ribosomal RNA (506 nucleotides) under uncultured bacterium. RNAcentral's name for it is "partial 16S ribosomal RNA". It matches the Rfam family "Bacterial small subunit ribosomal RNA", at positions 29 to 523 of the family's 1533-position model. The record is from RNAcentral.